RNAcentral lists this small RNA (181 nucleotides) under Variovorax sp. RNAcentral's name for it is "Manganese sequence". It matches the Rfam family "Manganese Mn2+ riboswitch aptamer (yybP-ykoY)". Rfam says of the family: This RNA was originally discovered in E. coli during a large scale screen and was named SraF. The family was later found to exist upstream of related families of protein genes in many bacteria, including the the yybP and ykoK genes in B. subtilis. Lineage: Bacteria; Pseudomonadati; Pseudomonadota; Betaproteobacteria; Burkholderiales; Comamonadaceae. The record is from RNAcentral.
CGCCCGGUCAUUGGGGAGUAGCCGCCUUCCAUCGCGAGAAGGGUGUGCGUCAACAGACUUGCCCGGCCCGUGCCGGACAUGGCGCACACAGUGUUCAACCUGGCGAGACCUUUGACCGUGCAGUUUCGGAUGUGGCCGAAGGUGCUGCACGGUCAAUUGCGUCCUUCGGCCCAAGGAAACC